Molecule: ribosomal RNA, 371 nt
Filed under: uncultured bacterium
Lineage: Bacteria
Description: bacterial SSU rRNA
Rfam family: Bacterial small subunit ribosomal RNA
Source: RNAcentral
GAAGGGGGCUAGCGUUGUUCGGAAUUACUGGGCGUAAAGCGAGUGUAGGUGGUUGUUCAAGUUGGAUGUGAAAGCCUUGAGCUCAACUCAAGAAAUGCAUUCAGGACUGAGCGACUAGAGGACCGGAGAGGAUAGUGGAAUUCCCAGUGUAGUGGUGAAAUACGUAGAGAUUGGGAAGAACACCAGUGGCGAAGGCGGCUAUCUGGACGGUUUCUGACACUAAGACUCGAAAGCGUGGGGAGCAAACAGGAUUAGAUACCCUGGUAGUCCACGCUGUAAACGAUGGGUGCUAGACGUUGGCGAGCUUGCUCGUCAGUGUCGCAGCUAACGCGUUAAGCACCCCGCCUGGGGAGUACGGCCGCAAGGUUGAA